Long non-coding RNA from Anser brachyrhynchus (Pink-footed goose), 1827 nucleotides. The record is from Ensembl. NCBI's taxonomy places the organism in Eukaryota, Metazoa, Chordata, Aves, Anseriformes, Anatidae.
GAAAUUAAGAUAUCUGUGUAUGGAAAAAGCAUCUGUUAUAUACCCCUCGUUUCUGACUUGUUAAGAGUUUGUUAAUCAUUAACAUGUAAAUAGAAAAAGCCAGUCAAAAGAGAAAAAUAUUUCAUGUUAGGUAGAUCUUUUACCACCAUUUCUAGUGCUGGAAAGAUAGAAUGCAUCGAGGUAGGGACCCUCCCUCAGCACAGUAAUGUUUUAUAUGCUUUAUAAAACAACUACCUGCUAACUAAAUUCCAUCUGUCCAAAAGUCUCCAGGAAGCACAGUAUUGCCCUAGAUUUUGGCAAACCGUUAUACGAGGUUUAGCCCCAUAUUAGCAUUUUAAUUGCUGGCUGAUUGCUUUUAUGUUGCAAAACUCAGUUCACAACAGUAUGUAAGUUGCAAUUAGUUUUUACUGUGUGAUUCAUUAGUUCCUAUAAAGCAUGUUGUGCUGCAACAUUUGGAAGGUAAUACGCUGGAAACAUUACAGCUCGCAUUAAAAAGUGUUGAAUGGCAUUGAAAAUGUACUAGUCCUGACAAACACAAAGACCACACGUGAUGGCAGGACAUAUUCUCUCAGAUGAGGUUUGGCUGACAGCUGCAGAUAAAGUUGUUUCAUAUUGACAGGUUUUCCACAUAAACAGAAUCUCAAACACGCAGUCUGUUCCAUACGGGUUCACAUCUGUGUGGGGUUUGGGGUUUUGUGGGGUUGGUGGAGUGGACACAGGUGUGGGAGUUUCCUUUAUGAGGGUUUGACUGCAGAGCUCAGCCAGGUUUGUGAUGUUCCUUCAGAGGAUAUCCGACGUCUUUUUCGUGCCUGGAGAAUCACGUUUCUUUUGGAGAUUCUGUCUUGUUCUCAGUGCUUGUGAUGGUGAGGUGUGUGUGAAAAACAGCUCGGAGGAGCUGAUGCUGAACCCCUCUACAGCUACGUACCACAAAGGAUUUUCCUUCAGACCAGUUUAGUCCGGUGAUCUGGAGUGUGCAAUCACAACUUCCCCUUGGCUUGGGUUCCUGCACAUGCAUUUGGGACUAAGAUUUGGAGUGCAUUUAGUGUGCAUGUGGAGAAGAGCUUCUGCUGUGGUUUCCUCCAAAGGAAAUUUAUUUUGCCUGCACCAACACUGCACUGCAGACCAAACCAGUGCAUAGGAAGUCAGGACCAUUUGGGGAUUUUCUUCCAAACCUCUUUGCUGCUUUGAAACAAUAACUGCCCUGAUGCAGACACAACCAGUAUGAACUAGAUGUGAUUGGAAGUUUUUUCCUACGUGACUUGUCCAUACUAACUUGAACAAAUCUGACUGCUCUCACCCUUUCCUUGUUGUGGCUUGUUGUGGGAAUGGGACUGAGGGUGAGUUGUAAACCCUUUCUCUAACGCUGAGCUGAGUGGGCUGUGGACUGUGGCUGAGGCACAGUGAAGCUGCGUGGGAUUCUUUGGCUGCGACCCAUGACGGGAUAGACAGCCUGGCUUCGGGUCUGCCCAAAUAUCUGGACAGAAGCAACAGUACUAAAACGCCCACUAGAAACCACUAAUUGCACUAGAAGCUGUAUUUUGGGGCAGAUUUUCCCCCCUUUUAAUUCAAGUUGGUUUGAGCUUUUCAUUUAAAGUUAGAAAUCAUGCUAAGAGAACACUUUGAGCACGAUUUUCCAGUGUAAGGCUGUUAUUAAACAUCCUUGAUCAGCCCUCUUGAUUGUUGAAUUUGUAAGGUUUCGUUUUGGCAUGGUAAUACAGACUUUAAAAAGGAAACUUCUUAUGAAAAGACUCAGUGGUUGGUUAUAUAAAAAAAAGACAAACAGAUGUGGGUAGCAAUAAAAUCACACCAUGAUGUCUUUUAAUUCCA